GAUGAACGCUGGCGGCGUGCCUAAUACAUGCAAGUCGAGCGAACAGAUAAGGAGCUUGCUCCUUUGACGUUAGCGGCGGACGGGUGAGUAACACGUGGGUAACCUACCUAUAAGACUGGAAUAACUCCGGGAAACCGGGGCUAAUGCCGGAUAACAUUUAGAACCGCAUGGUUCUAAAGUGAAAGAUGGUUUUACUAUCACUUAUAGAUGGACCCGCGCCGUAUUAGCUAGUUGGUAAGGUAACGGCUUACCAAGGCAACGAUACGUAGCCGACCUGAGAGGGUGAUCGGCCACACUGGAACUGAGACACGGACCAGGCUCCUACGGGAGGCAGCAGUAGGGAAUCUUCCGCAAUGGGCGAAAGCCUGACGGAGCAACGCCGCGUGAGUGAUGAAGGUCUUCGGAUCGUAAAACUCUGUUAUUAGGGAAGAACAAAUGUGUAAGUAACUGUGCACGUCUUGACGGUACCUAAUCAGAAAGCCACGGCUAACUACGUG
This 497-nucleotide ribosomal RNA is filed under the name uncultured bacterium. RNAcentral's name for it is "partial 16S ribosomal RNA". It matches the Rfam family "Bacterial small subunit ribosomal RNA", at positions 28 to 507 of the family's 1533-position model. The record is from RNAcentral.